GACGAACGCUGGCGGCGUGCCUAAUACAUGCAAGUUGAGCGAUGAAGAUUGGUGCUUGCACCAAUUUGAAGAGCAGCGAACGGGUGAGUAACGCGUGGGGAAUCUGCCUUUGAGCGGGGGACAACUUCUGGAAACGAAUGCUAAUACCGCAUAACAUCUUUAAACAUAAGUUUUAAGUUUGAAAGAUGCAAUUGCAUCACUCAAAGAUGAUCCCGCGUUGUAUUAGCUAGUUGGUGAGGUAAAGGCUCACCAAGGCGAUGAUACAUAGCCGACCUGAGAGGGUGAUCGGCCACAUUGGGACUGAGACACGGCCCAAACUCCUACGGGAGGCAGCAGUAGGGAAUCUUCGGCAAGGGACGAAAGUCUGACCGAGCAACGCCGCGGGAGUGAAGAAGGUUUUCGGAUCGUAAAACUCUGUUGGUAGAGAAGAACGAUGGUGAGAGUGGAAAGCUCAUGAAGUGACGGUACCUACCCAGAAAGGGACGGCUAACUACGUG
RNAcentral lists this ribosomal RNA (497 nucleotides) under uncultured bacterium. RNAcentral's name for it is "partial 16S ribosomal RNA". It matches the Rfam family "Bacterial small subunit ribosomal RNA", at positions 28 to 507 of the family's 1533-position model. The record is from RNAcentral.